AAGAUUUUAAGUUAACAAAACUAUUAAUUUUCAAAAUUAAAUAUAUAAACUUAUUAAGUUAUAAAUCUUA
This 70-nucleotide transfer RNA is filed under the name Bombus breviceps. RNAcentral's name for it is "tRNA-Trp". Lineage: Eukaryota; Metazoa; Arthropoda; Insecta; Hymenoptera; Apidae. The record is from RNAcentral.